RNAcentral lists this long non-coding RNA (766 nucleotides) under Triticum aestivum (bread wheat). Its description in RNAcentral is "long non-coding RNA (TAES_LNC020348)". The record is from RNAcentral. Lineage: Eukaryota; Viridiplantae; Streptophyta; Magnoliopsida; Poales; Poaceae.
UAAACGGGAUUUUCUUCUUUAGAGCAGGUAUCUUAGUAAAUUAAAAUAGUCAUGAGGUACAGAGGGCACACCAACAAAGGGUUAAUAACGAUAUCCAUAGAGCACGAAAAUAGCCUAGUUCAGAUCAUAAAUAAGGAAAUGUAUGAUUGGGGGUUGCCAAACACUUGGUUUGCAAACAUGCGACAAACAUAGUAACAGGCUAUUCUGGGCACUUGGCCAAUUGUGUGAAAACAACAAUGGCAAAGCAGUUUUCACUUGUCUUUGUGCAUAGGGCUUUAGUUGUUAGAUCCAAAUCAGCAAAGUGCAGCCUCCAUGGCGUUAGCAUGUGCAAUCGCAAGAGCAUCAUCAUCAACAUUAGUGGACGCAGAUCCCUGUGACAUGGGCAACUUAAUUAUUAGAAAUUCCGAAAGAAGAAACCAUGGAAAAGAAAGAAGAAUCUAAAUUUAGUAGAAAUACUAAUAGCAGAUGAAAGAUAGGAUUUAGCAAAGUUAGCGUUAUGACCUGCCCAUAAUAUUUUUUCUGCCAAACAAGGAUAUGUGCAUGGGGCAGACUCCUCUUCUGGAAGUCCACGGAGUGGAGGACUGGAAAACAAGAGGGCAAGUGAAGAACAGGGAAAUUAAGAUGCAUGGAGAAGAAAAAGUUAAGGAAACCAAGGGAAGACACUGGCUACAUUACCAGUAACUACAUGCCCAAACACCUGUCUAGUCUUAAUUUUUUCCACGUACUCAAGGAGUUUCAGUUGAUACACUUGAGCAGUAAAAUCAGC